This 1550-nucleotide ribosomal RNA is filed under the name Klebsiella pneumoniae. Its description in RNAcentral is "bacterial SSU rRNA". It matches the Rfam family "Bacterial small subunit ribosomal RNA". Lineage: Bacteria; Pseudomonadati; Pseudomonadota; Gammaproteobacteria; Enterobacterales; Enterobacteriaceae. The record is from RNAcentral.
AAAUUGAAGAGUUUGAUCAUGGCUCAGAUUGAACGCUGGCGGCAGGCCUAACACAUGCAAGUCGAGCGGUAGCACAGAGAGCUUGCUCUCGGGUGACGAGCGGCGGACGGGUGAGUAAUGUCUGGGAAACUGCCUGAUGGAGGGGGAUAACUACUGGAAACGGUAGCUAAUACCGCAUAAUGUCGCAAGACCAAAGUGGGGGACCUUCGGGCCUCAUGCCAUCAGAUGUGCCCAGAUGGGAUUAGCUAGUAGGUGGGGUAACGGCUCACCUAGGCGACGAUCCCUAGCUGGUCUGAGAGGAUGACCAGCCACACUGGAACUGAGACACGGUCCAGACUCCUACGGGAGGCAGCAGUGGGGAAUAUUGCACAAUGGGCGCAAGCCUGAUGCAGCCAUGCCGCGUGUGUGAAGAAGGCCUUCGGGUUGUAAAGCACUUUCAGCGGGGAGGAAGGCGUUAAGGUUAAUAACCUUGGCGAUUGACGUUACCCGCAGAAGAAGCACCGGCUAACUCCGUGCCAGCAGCCGCGGUAAUACGGAGGGUGCAAGCGUUAAUCGGAAUUACUGGGCGUAAAGCGCACGCAGGCGGUCUGUCAAGUCGGAUGUGAAAUCCCCGGGCUCAACCUGGGAACUGCAUUCGAAACUGGCAGGCUAGAGUCUUGUAGAGGGGGGUAGAAUUCCAGGUGUAGCGGUGAAAUGCGUAGAGAUCUGGAGGAAUACCGGUGGCGAAGGCGGCCCCCUGGACAAAGACUGACGCUCAGGUGCGAAAGCGUGGGGAGCAAACAGGAUUAGAUACCCUGGUAGUCCACGCCGUAAACGAUGUCGAUUUGGAGGUUGUGCCCUUGAGGCGUGGCUUCCGGAGCUAACGCGUUAAAUCGACCGCCUGGGGAGUACGGCCGCAAGGUUAAAACUCAAAUGAAUUGACGGGGGCCCGCACAAGCGGUGGAGCAUGUGGUUUAAUUCGAUGCAACGCGAAGAACCUUACCUGGUCUUGACAUCCACAGAACUUUCCAGAGAUGGAUUGGUGCCUUCGGGAACUGUGAGACAGGUGCUGCAUGGCUGUCGUCAGCUCGUGUUGUGAAAUGUUGGGUUAAGUCCCGCAACGAGCGCAACCCUUAUCCUUUGUUGCCAGCGGUCAGGCCGGGAACUCAAAGGAGACUGCCAGUGAUAAACUGGAGGAAGGUGGGGAUGACGUCAAGUCAUCAUGGCCCUUACGACCAGGGCUACACACGUGCUACAAUGGCAUAUACAAAGAGAAGCGACCUCGCGAGAGCAAGCGGACCUCAUAAAGUAUGUCGUAGUCCGGAUUGGAGUCUGCAACUCGACUCCAUGAAGUCGGAAUCGCUAGUAAUCGUAGAUCAGAAUGCUACGGUGAAUACGUUCCCGGGCCUUGUACACACCGCCCGUCACACCAUGGGAGUGGGUUGCAAAAGAAGUAGGUAGCUUAACCUUCGGGAGGGCGCUUACCACUUUGUGAUUCAUGACUGGGGUGAAGUCGUAACAAGGUAACCGUAGGGGAACCUGCGGUUGGAUCACCUCCUUACCUUAAAGAA